AGAACGAACGCUGGCGGCGUGGAUAAGACAUGCAAGUCGAACGGGCUUAAUUUUAGAGCAAUCUAGGGUUGAGCCAGUGGCGAACGGGUGCGUAACACGUGAGUCAUCUGCCUGAAAGUGGGGGAUAGCUCGCCGAAAGGCGAAUUAAUACCGCAUGUGGUUGUGAAACCAAAGCCGGGGCAACCUGGCGCUUUUAGAGGAGCUCGCGGCCUAUCAGCUUGUUGGUGAGGUAACAGCUUACCAAGGCAACGACGGGUAGCUGGUCUGAGAGGACGACCAGCCACACUGGAACUGAGACACGGUCCAGACACCUACGGGUGGCAGCAGUCGAGAAUUUUUCCCAAUGGGGGAAACCCUGAAGGAGCGACGCCGCGUGGAGGAUGAAGGCUUUCGGGUUGUAAACUCCUGUCAUUUGGGAACAAGUCUUACGUUAACUGCGUGGAGAUUUGAUAGUACCGAAAGAGGAAGAGACGGCUAACUCUGUGCCAGCAGCCGC
Molecule: ribosomal RNA, 496 nt
Filed under: uncultured bacterium
Lineage: Bacteria
Description: SSU rRNA
Rfam family: Bacterial small subunit ribosomal RNA
Source: RNAcentral